GUGGGGACAAUGGGGAUGAUGGACAUAGGGACGAUGGGGACAAUGGACGUGGGGAUGAGGUGAUGGGGACGAUGGACGUGGGGACGGUGGGGAUAAUGGACGUGGGGAUGGUGGGGUUGAUGGAUGUGGGGAUGACGGUGACAGUGGAUGUGGGGAUGAGGUGAUGGGGACGAUGGACGUGGGGUUGGUGGGAACAACGUAGGUGGAGGUGAUGGAGAUAGAGAUGAGGAUGAGGAUGAAGGGGAUGGAGAUGAUGAGGAUGGUGGGGUGGAGAUGAGAUGAGGAUGAUGUGGAUGAUGGGGAUGGAGAUGAUGAAGAUGAGGAUGGCGGGGAUGGAGAUGAUGAGGAUGAUGAGUCUGAUGGGGAGGGAAAUGAUGGAGAUGGGGACAAUAGGGAUGGAGAUGAAGAUGAUGAUGAGGACAGUGGGGUUGGAGGUGAUUAAGAUGAUGGGGAGGGGGAUGGAGGUGAUGAAGUUGAUGAAAACGAUGGGGAUGGAGAUGAUGGAGAUUAUGAGGAUGGAGAUGAAGAUGGUGAGGAUGAUGGGGAGGGGGAUGGAGGUGAUGGAGAUGAUGAAAACAGUGGGGCUGGAAAUGAUGGAGAUGGGGACAAGGGGGAUGGAGAUGAUGGAGAUGAUGGAGGGGGGAUAGAGAUGAGAUAAAGAUGAUGUGGGCAGUAGGGAUGGAGAUGAUGAUGAGGUCAGUGGGGAUGGAGAUGAUGAAGAUGGGGACAAGUGGGGGCAAUGGAGGUGGAGGUGAUGACGAUGGGGACAACGGGGAUGGAGAUGAUGGAGAUGAUGAGAAUGGAGAUGAUGAUGGGGAUGGAGAUGAUGAGGACAGUGAGGGCAGUGGAGGUGGAGGUGAUGAAGAUGAUGAGGACAACGGGGAUGGAAAUGAUGGAGAUGGGGACCAUGGGGGUGGAGGUGAUGAGGAUGACGGGGAGGGGAUGGAGAUGACGGAGGUUGAUGAGAAUGGAGGUGAUGAUGAGGACGAUGGGGAUGGAGGUGAUGAAGAUGGGGACCAUGGGGGUGGUGGAGGUGGAGGUGAUGAGGACGAUGGGGACAGUGGGGAUGGGCAUGGAGAUAACGAAGACGAUGAGGACGAUGAUGAGGACAGUGAUGAGGAUGGAGAUAACAAAGAUGACGAGGAUGAUGAUGGGGACAGUGGGGGUGGGGAUGGAGAUAACGAUGAUGAGGACGAUGAUGGGGAUGGCUGGGAUGGAGAUAACGAAGACAGUGAGGAUGAUGAUGGGGACAGCGGGAUGGAGAUAACGGAGACGAUGAGGACUGGGGAUGGAGAUAACGAAGAUGAUGAGGACAAUGAUGGGGACAGUGGGGAUGGAGAUAACGAAGACAAUGAGGUUGAUGAGAGGACAUUGAGGGUGGGGAUGGAGAUAACGACGGUGAGGAUGAUGAUGGGGACAGUGGGGAUGGAGAUAAUGAAGAUGAUGAGGAUGGCGAUGGGGACAGUGAUGGGGAUGGAGAUAACGGAGACAAUGAUGAUGAGGACAGUGGGGAUGGAGAUAACAGAGACGGUGAGGAUGAUGAUGGGAACAGUGAUGGGGAUGGAGAUAACGGAGGUGAUGAGGACAAUGAUGGGUACAGCUGGGAUGGAGAUAACAAAGAUGAGGAUGGUGAUGGGGACAGUGGGGAUGGAGAUAACGAAGACAAUGAGGAUGAUGAUGGAGGAUGAUGAUGGAGACAGUAGGGAUGGAGAUAACAAAGACGAUGAGGAUGAUGAUGGGGACAUUGGGGGUGGGGAUGGAGAUAAUGAUGAUGAGGACGAUGAUGGGGACAGUGAUGGGGAUGGAGAUAACGAAGACAAUGAGGAUGAUGAUGAGGACAUUGGGGGUGGGGAUGGAGAUAACGACGGUGAGGAUGAUGAUGGGGACAGUGGGGACGGAGAUAACGAAGACGACGAGGACGAUGAUGGGGACAGCGGGGGUGGGGAUGGAGAUAACGACGAUGAGGACGAUGAUGGGGACAGUGGGGAUGGAGAUAAUGACGAUGAUGAGGAUGGUGAUGGGGACAGUGAUGGGGAUGGAGAUAACGAAGACGACGAGGACGAUGAUGGGGACAUUGGGGGUGGGGAUGGAGAUAACGAAGACGAGGAUGAUGAUGGGUACAGUGGGGAUGGAGAUAACGGAGAUGAUGAGGACGAUGAUGGGGACAACAGGGAUGGAGAUAAUGAAGGUGAUGAGGAUGAGGAUAGGGACAGCUGGGAUGGAGAUAACGAAGACGAGGAUGAUGAUGGAGGAUGAUGAUGGAGACAGUAGGGAUGGAGAUAAUGAAGACGACGAGGAUGAUGAUGGGGACAGUGGGGGUGGGGAUGGAGAUAAUGAUGAUGAGGAUGAUGAUGGGGACAGCUGGGAUGGAGAUAACAAAGACAAUGAAGAUGAUGAUGAGGACAGCUGGGAUUGAGAUAAUGAAGACGAUGAGGACGAUGAUGGGGACAGCAGGGAUGGAGAUAACAGAGACGAUGAGGAUGAUGAUGGGGACAGUGAUGGGGAUGGAGAUAACGAAGACAAUGAGGAUGAUGAUGUGGACAUUGGGGGUGGGGAUGGAGAUAACGACGGUGAGGAUGAUGAUGGGGACAUUGGGGAUGGAGAUAACGGAGAUGAGGACGAUGAAGGGGACAGUGGGGAUGGAGAUAAUGGAGAUGAUGAGGACAGUGAUGGGGACAGCGGGGGUGGGGAUGGAGAUAACGACGAUGAUGAUGAGGACAGUGGGGAUGAAGAUAACAGAGACGACAAGGAUGAUGAUGGGGACAGCGGGGAUGGAGAUAACGAAGACGACGAGGACGAUGGGACAGUGGGGGUGGGGAUGGAGAUGUGAAGGCAGCGCUGCGAGCCCUGGCCCCACAUGACCCCCCCCGCCCUCUCCCCCGUUUCCAUGCCCACAGAUCGAGGAGAUCGAGCGCGAGAUCAUCAAGCAGGAGGAGAACGUCGACCCCGACUACUGGGAGAAGCUGCUGCGGCACCACUACGAGCAGCAGCAGGAGGACCUGGCACGAAACCUGGGCAAGGGCAAGCGCGUCCGCAAGCAGGUCAACUACAACGACGCGGCCCAGGAGGACCAAGGUGGGCACUGGGAGGGACUGGGGGGCACCGGGAAGGGAAUGGGAGGGCACUGGGGGCCGCUGGGAGGGACUGGGGGGGAUUGGGAGGGACUGGGAAGGACUGGGAGGUACUGGGAAGGACUGGGAGGGCACUGGAGACCACUGGGAGGGAUUGGGAGGGGAUUGGGAGGGCACUGGGAGGC
Long non-coding RNA from Numida meleagris (helmeted guineafowl), 3256 nucleotides. The record is from Ensembl. Lineage: Eukaryota; Metazoa; Chordata; Aves; Galliformes; Numididae.